AGGGUUCGAUCAUGGCUCAGGACGAACGCUGGCGGUGCGCCUUAUGCAUGCAAGUCGAGCGAAGCUUUUCAGUAGUUUACUACAGAAAAUGACUGAGCGGCGAACGGGCGAGUAACGCGUGAGCAAUCUACCUUAGUUACAGGGAUAGCCCGAGGAAACUCGGAUUAAUACCUGAUAUUCUUUAUUUCUCGCAUGAGAAUAAAAGGAAAGGUCAGCCGAACUAAGAUGGGCUCGCGUUCUAUCAGCUUGUUGGUGAGGUAAAAGCUUACCAAGGCUACGACGGAUAGCUGGUCUGAGAGGACGAUCAGCCACACUGGGACUGAGACACGGCCCAGACUCCUACGGGAGGCUGCAGCAGGGAAUAUUGUGCAAUGAACGAAAGUUUGACACAGCGACACCGCGUGUGGGAUGACGGAUCUAGGUUUGUAAACCACUUUCAGGAGGGAAGAAAAUGACGGUACCUCCACAAGAAGCCCCGGCCAACUACGUGCCAGCCGCCGCGGUAAUA
Molecule: ribosomal RNA, 508 nt
Filed under: uncultured bacterium
Lineage: Bacteria
Description: bacterial SSU rRNA
Rfam family: Bacterial small subunit ribosomal RNA
Source: RNAcentral